GUCGCCCAGUCGUGUCCGACUCUUAGUGACCCCCAUGGACUGCAGCCAACCAGGCUCCUCCAUCCAUGGAAUUUUCCAGGCAAGAGUACUGGAGUGGGGUGCCAUCGCCUUCUCCUGGGGUUGUCCAAAUCUGCAUGGCAAGUCACAAAGCCAAAUUUAAGAAAGUGGCCGCAUCAAAGUUGUGAUUAAAAUGAGUUUUUGUUACCUUACAGUGUAAGACAUCAUCAAUGUUAUUUUGUUCAAUGCAGCAAGGUUUACUACAACAUCAUACUAACAGUUUCUCUGUUAUGGGCAAGAGUAUGAUCUAUUUGAUAAGUACUAUUUCAUCCUUAAACACUGAAUGAAAACCUGCAUACCUAAAGAAUGGAGUCCAUGAAGUUCCAUUGACUGGUGGAAUGACAAUACAAAAGUCAUAAAAAGCCAAGAGCUCCUUAAAACUGAUGAAGUCACAAUUAAUGUGAUUAUCCUUAUGUGUAACUAUACUUUAGUGCUUUUCCUAGUGGCAAUUUUUGCUUUAUGUAUAUCAGCUAAAAACUAGGUUAUAAAGCAACAAGGAGGGCAUUUUGUAUUUUGUGGGGAUGUUAUCACUUCCAGUGCUUAGCAGGCUGAUUUAAACAUGGUAGAUGUUCAACGUGUGAAUGCUAAGUCACUUCAUUCAUUUCCUUCUCCAGGGGAUCUUCCUGACCCAGGGAUCAAACCCGAAUCUUAAGCCUUCUGCAUUGGCAAGCAGGUUCUUUACCACUAGUGCCAUAUGAGGUUAUUAUUUACAACAAAUUUUAAAGUUUUGUGGUUGCAUGAGUUUCUAAAGAAAAUAUAAAUUGUGAAAAUUAAACCAAGACAAAAUCUGAAUAACCAUGAAAGGAAAAUGAAGUAGUUGUCAAGAUAUUUCUACCAAAGAAGCAUAAUAUUCUAUUAUUCUUACAGUUAAGUAUUUUAAAAAAAUCUUCACGGAGCAUGAUUCACACAGUAAACUGUUCUAACAUACAAUAAAAAACAGCAAAUUUACAAGCCUCUGUUACAAAGCUAGUAUAAUCCUGAUAGCAAAUUCUGAGAUAACAUAGACCCCCACCUUAAAAAAAAAAAAUCCUAUAGCCUAUAACACAGGUAUAUAGAGACAACAAUCCUGAAUAAAAUACUAGCAAAUCAAAUCUGGACUUUCAUCAGAGAAUAUUGCACUGUAAUUGUUUAAGAAAGCAAAGAUGGUUUAAGGUAAGAAAAUUCAUUUAUACACAUUUACUGAAGGAAAAAUGUAGGAGCAUUUCAAAAGAGGUUUAAAAAUAAUUUGGUAAAGCAUCAUGUCCACGCCUGAUUUUAAACUAACACACUAGGAAUAGACUUUCAUUUUUUGUUUUAUUUUUCAGCUGCAUUGCACAGCAAGUAAGAUCUUGGUUCCCCUACCAGGAUCGAACCCAUGCCCCCUGCUUUGGGAGCACAGGGCCUUAACCACCUGACUGCUGGGAUCCUAUAGUAAACUUCUUGAGGAUAUUGGAUCUUGAAGAUUACAGGUGGCAAACUUUGAAGUGAACUCCACUGAAGAUCUAAGAGGCCCAACUAAAACUGUGGCAUCACAGCUGUGGAUUGAGCAGAACUUUUUGAAAGGGCUACCUUGAAGAUGACAACCUUGGAGGAGCUAUGGUGAUUGGCAGUGGAAAGAAUCAGGACGUGUGAAAAAUCCUUAAAAAUUUAUUGACUUAAAUAACUUUGUCUAUGUUAUGAAUAAAAAGAAACCUUUGUGCAGAAA
Molecule: long non-coding RNA, 1741 nt
Organism: Bubalus bubalis (water buffalo)
Lineage: Eukaryota; Metazoa; Chordata; Mammalia; Artiodactyla; Bovidae
Exons: 2
Source: RefSeq, a predicted model, not a curated record